This 254-nucleotide ribosomal RNA is filed under the name uncultured bacterium. Its description in RNAcentral is "partial small subunit ribosomal RNA". It matches the Rfam family "Bacterial small subunit ribosomal RNA", at positions 26 to 291 of the family's 1533-position model. The record is from RNAcentral.
AGGACGAACGCUGGCGGCGUGCUUAACACAUGCAAGUCACGGGGGCCCGCAAGGGUAACCGGCGAACGGGUGCGUAACACGUGAACAACCUGCCCUCGUGUGGGGGAUAGCCGGGCUAACGCCCGGGUAAUACCGCAUACGGUCAUCGAGAGGAGUCUCUUGGUGAAGAAAGCUCCGGCGCACGGGGAGGGGUUCGCGGCCUAUCAGCUAGUUGGCGGGGUAAUGGCCCACCAAGGCGACGACGGGUAGCUGGU